This 201-nucleotide unclassified non-coding RNA is filed under the name uncultured fungus. RNAcentral describes it as "partial contains 18S rRNA, ITS1, 5.8S rRNA, ITS2 and 28S rRNA". The record is from RNAcentral. Lineage: Eukaryota; Fungi.
AAGGAUCAUUACUGAAUUAAUUGAUUGUGCUGGCUUUGCAAGUGCACGUCUUAAUCCAAUUUACCCCCUGUGAACAUUAGACUUGACUCUUGGAAACAAGAGAAGAGUAUUUAUUACACUCUUUAGAAUGUAUGUGAUUUAUUGUAUUGUGCUUUAAUGCACUAUUAAUAACAACUUUCAACAACGGAUCUCUUGGCUCUC